CCUACGGGUGGCAGCAGUGAGGAAUAUUGGUCAAUGGACGAGAGUCUGAACCAGCCAAGUAGCGUGAAUGAUGAAUGCCCUAUGGGUUGUAAACUUCUUUUAUAUGGGAAUAAAAUGUUCCACGUGUGGGCUUUUGUAUGUACCUUAUGAAUAAGGAUCGGCUAACUCCGUGCCAGCAGCCGCGGUAAUACGGAGGAUCCGAGCGUUAUCCGGAUUUGUUGGGUUUAAAGGGAGCGUAGGUGGAUUUUUAAGUCAGUUGGGAAAGUUUGGGGCUCAACCGUAAAAUUGCAGUUGAAACUGGCAGUCGUGAGUACAGUAGAGGUGGGCGGAAUUCGUGGUGUAGCGGUGAAAUGCUUAGAUAUCACGAAGAACUCCGAUUGCGAAGGCAGCAUACCGGCGCCCGACUGACGCUGAGGCACGAAAGCGUGGGUAUCGAACAGGAUUAGAUACCCGAGUAGUC
Molecule: ribosomal RNA, 460 nt
Filed under: uncultured bacterium
Lineage: Bacteria
Description: partial 16S ribosomal RNA
Rfam family: Bacterial small subunit ribosomal RNA
Source: RNAcentral